Molecule: small nuclear RNA, 19 nt
Filed under: Arabidopsis thaliana (thale cress)
Lineage: Eukaryota; Viridiplantae; Streptophyta; Magnoliopsida; Brassicales; Brassicaceae
Description: snRNA_09699
Source: RNAcentral
GAACCGUGAAAGCGUGGCC